Molecule: long non-coding RNA, 1329 nt
Filed under: Manihot esculenta (cassava)
Lineage: Eukaryota; Viridiplantae; Streptophyta; Magnoliopsida; Malpighiales; Euphorbiaceae
Description: long non-coding RNA (MESC_LNC005047)
Source: RNAcentral
GAGUAUUUAUUCACUGAUCACACCAUCUUUUGAUUUCUAUUUGUUUCUUGUUGUUUCUUUUUGUUUCUUUUUGCAUUGUUCUUACCCCUUUUUGCACACACCAGAAUUUUUUUUCACACUCCUAGCGCACACACACAAAAUUUUGUAGCUAAUUGCUUUACUCAACAUAGAUAACAAGGCUGAAAGAGUUUCCUUAUCUCAUGACCCCAUUGAUUUGCCACCCCUUUAAGCUUAAAUUGAAUCAUUCACAGUAUGUUACCUUCACUUAGGGAGUUUUUCUCUUGAAUUGAAUCCUCAAAUUUGCUAAGGUCAAGGGAAAUAAAAAUACAAAUACAUGCAAACACAAAGUUAGUGUAACUCCCUAAGAGCUGAUUUGCCCAAAAUAUCAUGAAAAACCAGCAUAAAGCACAAAUCAUAAACAUGUUCCAAUGGUCUAAGACUAUGAACUGAGCCUAAUAGCCACUUGGAGAAGUGACUGACUGAGUAACCGGGGGUGUAUCACCCAUGUACACAAUCGCGUAAAAAGGUCAGUGACUUUUUCAAGCAAAUAAGUUUCGAUGGUCUAGACUAUGAACAGAGCUAGUAGCCACUUGAACAAGUGACUAACUGAGUAACCGGGGGUGUAUCACCCAUGUACACAAUCGCGUAAAAAUGUUAGUGACUUUUUCAGGCAAGGAUAAGAAUAAGUGCUGCUGAAAAUAAAAAUAAAAAUAAAAAUAAAAAAAAAACAAAAAAAAAGAGAGAAGAGAAAAGGGGCAAGUCACUCCUAGGGGUUGCAUUAAAACUAACAUAAAGGAUUAAGCAUAAUUGAUUCAAAAACCUUUCUCUUGACCAUGGUAGGUGAAAGGAAACAAGGAAAGGAGAGGAUGACCUUAGUGCAUGUACUCUAUACUGUGAUAAUUCAGAUUAGGAGUCUAGGGGGGCUGAUUAAGUGGUACUUAGGCUCUAAGGAAAAAGGGGGCUUGAUUGGCUAAGUUAUUUGUUGCUUGAGGACAAGCAAAAAGCUAGGUGUGGGGGUAUUUGAUCAAGCAUAAUUUAGCCACAUUUUUAUCAUAAUUAUUAUUGCUUAUUUAUACAUUUUUCAGUUUAAUUUAUGGUUUUUAUCUUGUUUUUACAGAAAAGGAAGAAAUUGAAAAAUGGAAGAAAAAGUGCAGAAAAUUUACAAAAGGAUGAUUUGCCCAGUGAUUUGCCCAAGAUCACCAGAUAAUCUGCUCCAAUCACUGCCCAGAUCAAGCUGAAGCAGAAACCCGGAGGCAACAGGCAGUAGUGAUAUGGCAAGUGAUUUGCCCAAGACACUCGAAGAUCACUGGCCAAAUCACUCGCAGANNN